CUCUCAUGAUGUUAGAGUGAUCUAUUUUGAGUAAAGCAUGUCAUUAAAAUUCAUGUAAAUUUAUCCAACACUCUUAUUUCAAACAACUUUUAUUUCUUUUUUAGAAAAAGAUACAAGGAAGAUCACUAUGAUGACUAUGGUGAUGAAAAAGAAAGGGAAUACCUUCGCGAUGAUGCGGACAGAGAUGGAAAAUAUGACGAUUACAGGAAUUCGGAUUACAACAGAGACUCAUAUAGGGACGAUUAUAAUCGGGAUAAUGAUAGAGACUAUUAUCGUGACAAUGAUCGUGAUUCAUACCGAGAUGAUAAUGACAGGGACUCUUACCGAGAUGAUCAUGAUGAUGAUCGUCAUGACGACUAUGAUGACAGAGGUUAUGCUAGGAAAGACAGAGAUAGAUAUGAUGACAAAUAUGAUGAUCAAGGUCGAGGAGCGACCAAUUAUGACGAGCCAGACGACCAAAGUUUCCAUGAUGACAGGAAAGGGUACGGGGAAUACAAUGAUGAGCGCUCAAAGUUCGACAAAAGUGGUGCCCCGGUCCCGGCCCCUAGACCACUUUAUAAACCUCGAUCUGUCACUGAUCUAUAAAUAACCACCUCAAUGCUAAGGGCAAAUGAAUACUGUACGAUUUUAUAUGUCAUCAUUUCAGAAUGCUACAUUCCAUAUUGUUAACUAUGAAGCCAUGUACUUACAUUUAAUGUAGUAUAGUUAACUAUUUUUAUAUUGUAAAUAUCAUAUUGUUAGUAAGAAUUGUAAAUGUAUGCGAUGUUCAUUAUAUACAUUAAGGUUUUAUAAUAUCAAUCAAACAGUUUAAAGGAUUCCAUUUUGUCAUUAAAAUACAUAUCAUGUUAUAUAAUGUGUUACAUUAUUUUGUAAGUUGUUUAUUUACAUUUGGAGAGAACAGUUAUAUUGUUAUGUGGAUAAUGAAUUGAGGUCUUGCUUGCACUGUUAAACAUUUAUUUCAUAGAUAUGUUAUCAUUUAUGACAAAUAUUUUGAAUGUAUUCAUUUAUGUUCAUAAACUUCUUACAAACAUAUAGAUGUACAUAUUAAACGUAUAAUGUCUCCAUACCUCAAGGCAACUUGCACUGCAAUAUAUUCACCACUCACACUUACUAUGCAUUAAGCAUUCACAUAUAUUGUUAUUAAUUAGAAUCCAUCAGUAGUUUCAUUGUGUAGUUUAUUAGAUUAGAUUCUCCGAUUUGUUUAAAACUUCUUAGCUUAUUAAUUUCAUUUAUUCCUGAAUUGUUUAAACAUGAUACACUGGUGUCAUUUGCACAUUGAACACUUCCACUGAUGUGUGCCAUCCCCACCAUAUUGAAUGUGCAUAUACAGUGUACUAUUUAACCUGCAUAAUAACAAUGUCUGUUGAAUCCCCUCUCUACAAAUGUCUAUUGUUCCAGUGCUAUGACUUUGAUGUCACUUUAAUUCCUCAUUUUACUUUAAUACUACUUGCAUUUAAUAUAUUUAUUUCUAUAAUGUGUUUAAUAAUACUUAACACAGAAGUUUGUAAAGAAUGAACUCCUGCAAUUUCCUUUAGUUUUAAUUGACAUGUAAAACUUCACACCACUGUAAGUACAUGUUUUCAUCAACUAUGUAUAAAUUCCAUGAAAUGGGGGCAGAAUAUUUAUGAAUCUAUUUAUGUGUUAACAGCGUGUUGUACAAAUCCUAGUAAGAGUAGAGAUUUAAACUUUGUUUAAGAAUUUGAAUGAUUUUGCCAAAAGAAUAAUGUACUGACUAUAUGACUGUCAUGCAACAAUACAAUAGUUUAUAAAUACAUGUAUGUUUAGGGACAUCUAGAUUUUUAUUUUAGUUUUACAAACAAUUUUUUGGAAAUAGUUUGUAAGUGUGUUUAAAAACUCUGAUUCCAUGUCAUAUUCCUAGUCAUAAAUUCACUAAAUGCUACUAAUGUACUUUGCUGACUAAGUUCAAAAUGAAGGUUGUCCUAAAAACCUGUUUCAUGCAGUUUGUUACAUGACCUCAUAUUGUCACACACACAAUUUUCAAAUAUUGCUCAUCUGUUUUUGAAAAAUAGUAGUCAUAGUAUUUGGAUGGUAUUGGUGUUGCAUUAUCUGUCUACAAAAGCUUUGUCAAAGUUCUGACUCCCACACAUCAGAGAGUAUGUGAGAAAUGCAGGCGGGUAAGCUCAGUUGGUAGAGCACCUGGCUUGUAAGCAGAGGGACAUGGUUUUGAUCCCCAGUCUGGGCACACACUUUUCUAAGUCGGUGACAUUAAACCUUGUCCAUCAACCAUUUAAGAUAUUGGGAUGCAACUUAGAACACAUGGUGCCAGAAACUAUAUGCACUUGUGGUAGCAGCGUCCUUAAUUUUGGCUUUAAUAAUUGUUAAGUCAAACCCCUUCUUACUGAAAAAACAACAACAGACAAUUAUAGGCAUUGCUUUUGUUAUAUUAAACAGGGACUAGUAAUAGUUUUGAAAUGAACAUAACCACAUAAAAUGUUUGAUCUCAAACCUAGAACUCAAUGAGUUGAAAUGCUGAACUUGAAAUAUGAAGGAAUUAAAUUGAUAAAUUUAUCUUUUAUUGGCCACCAAAAGUGUCUUGCCAGUACUAUAUCUACUUGCACAAUGUGUUCUCAUUCAAGCUUGUCAAUUAAUAAUGAACUUGUAGAUUUGUCAUUCCAUCUUGAGAAUAUGUGUUGAAUCUCAGGCAACUUAGAAAUUUAGUAUAUUUAAUGAAUAGUAUAUUUACCAUGUAUAGUACUAAAUCAUUCAUUCAUUAAGCACACCAUCAUUUUGGUAUCACAAAACCUGAAGAAAUUGUAUAUAUGUAUAAUGUAUUAUGAAUAUUAUAUAUUUCAUUGUUUUCUUUUUUACAGCUACAGUCUUCCUUUUAGAAAAAAAUCCAUUCCUGCUUAUGUUAGGGGACAUAAUUUUAUGUGACACUUGUGUUAAACACAAUAAACUGUACAUGUGCAUGCUGUAAGUUGACAUAAUUGUUGAGUAUCUUACAGAAAGCAUGGCAAUUAUGGCCAAUUUAAUUUCUCAGUUUUCUGCAGAGUUGACACUUGUCUACAAGUUAUGGUAUAAGCUAAUAUCAAUUCAAUUUCUUGUUUAUGUUAUGGUAUAAGCUGACAAUUCAAUUUGUACACGCACACAAUAAAUGUGCAAUAGUCAAUCAUUCUGAGCAAAUUCAUUUUUACAAUAGAAUAAGAUUUACUGCGUUUUUGCUUGAAGUGCAUCAUUGCAAUGCUUUAUGUUCUGUUCCAAUCUGUCCCUUCUGCUCUAUGCAUUGGCUUAUUUUAUAUUAGUGCUUAAACAUGGACAGUUAGUAGUUGUAGUUACUGUGCAAGGAUCUUUUGAAUAACUAUUUCACAACUAUAUACACAUCAAUUUCACAUACUGCUCAUUAUAUGUGCAUUAUGUUUUCAACUCAACUCUUUUUGAAUUAAAUGACCUCAAAUGAG
Molecule: long non-coding RNA, 3419 nt
Organism: Mya arenaria
Lineage: Eukaryota; Metazoa; Mollusca; Bivalvia; Myida; Myidae
Exons: 3
Source: RefSeq, a predicted model, not a curated record